Molecule: ribosomal RNA, 516 nt
Filed under: uncultured bacterium
Lineage: Bacteria
Description: bacterial SSU rRNA
Rfam family: Bacterial small subunit ribosomal RNA
Source: RNAcentral
AUGGCUCAGAUUGAACGCUGGCGGCGUGCUUAACACAUGCAAGUCGAACGCGAAAGGGACUUCGGUCCUGAGUAAAGUGGCGCACGGGUGAGUAACGCGUGGAUAAUCUGCCCUUAUGAUCGGGAUAACAGUUGGAAACGGCUGCUAAUACCGGAUACGCUCAAAAUGAACUUUUUUGAGGAAAGACGGCCUCUGCUUGCAUGCUAUCACGUAAGGAUGAGUCCGCGUCCCAUUAGCUUGUUGGCGGGUAACGGCCCACCAAGGCAACGAUGGGUAGCCGAUUUGAGAGGAUGAUCGGCCACACUGGAACUGAAACACGGUCCAGACUCCUACGGGAGGCAGCAGUGGGGAAUAUUGCGCAAUGGGCGAAAGCCUGACGCAGCGACGCCGCGUGAGGGAUGAAGGUUUUCGGAUCGUAAACCUCUGUCAGAAGGGAAGAAACUACGUUGUGCUAAUCAGCAGCGUACUGACGGUACCUUCAAAGGAAGCACCGGCUAACUCCGUGCCAGCAGCCGC